Molecule: long non-coding RNA, 498 nt
Organism: Suricata suricatta (meerkat)
Lineage: Eukaryota; Metazoa; Chordata; Mammalia; Carnivora; Herpestidae
Exons: 3
Source: RefSeq, a predicted model, not a curated record
AAAGAUUGGCAGCAUCGGUAGGAUUGCCAAGUCUUCAUCAGAGAUUAUCCCAAACCGACAGGAAACUGAGACCUGGAAAGAUUAAGGGUCAUUUGCCUGCCCAGGCUCAAAAUUACAGUGGAGAUCCACAAAGCCUGGGAGGUCAGUAAGAUGCAAAGCAAGUACAAGAUAAGUACAAGAUGUUGCAUCCAACACGAAGUGGAGCCCUGAGCGGCCAUCUUCUCCAUUCAAACUAGAACUUACUCUGAAGGCUGAAAGCAAGCAAUGGCAUCCUCAGAAACACAAAUGACUUAGGAACCCCAUCUUAUCCUUUCUUACUCAUGUUACUUCCCUGUGUUAGUUAACCGUUUAUGCUGAAAAUGAUGACAUAGAAAGAAAGUGAAAGAGAGCAACCUAUGGUUCUUUUCCUUUCAGUUCUUCCUCACUCAUCAGUAAGCUGAAGACAGUGCUAAUAUAAUGUGUGCAUAACAAGAAAGGAAGUAAAAACAACCGGGUUUA